This 267-nucleotide long non-coding RNA is filed under the name Elaeis guineensis (African oil palm). Its description in RNAcentral is "long non-coding RNA (EGUI_LNC030667)". The record is from RNAcentral. Lineage: Eukaryota; Viridiplantae; Streptophyta; Magnoliopsida; Arecales; Arecaceae.
CAUAGUACUAAACAAAAGAAACAUUGAAGCGGACACAAACAGCAAAAUGAUUGGAAAUAUGGAAUCCAUCGAGUAACACUUUCAAGGUUCCUCUCAAAAUUCUUCCUUGCUGUCAGACUAAUCGAUGGAUUGCAAUUUUUCUGUGAGACCUUAAGUUUGCACCUCAUCAUCCUUAUCUAGCCAACGCUGAAAUCAACGGCCAAGUCUUUCACAUUAUAAGAAAACGACAGGCUCCUAUAGCUUUGAUUUCCAGCAAAUAAGAAGGCA